This 72-nucleotide transfer RNA is filed under the name Peromyscus megalops (brown deer mouse). RNAcentral's name for it is "tRNA-Val". It matches the Rfam family "tRNA". Rfam says of the family: Transfer RNA (tRNA) molecules are approximately 80 nucleotides in length. Lineage: Eukaryota; Metazoa; Chordata; Mammalia; Rodentia; Cricetidae. The record is from RNAcentral.
CAUAGCGUAGCUUAAUCACUAUAAAGCAUCUGGUCUACACCCAGAAGAAUCUAGAAACAAUAGACGCUUUGA